Molecule: long non-coding RNA, 1201 nt
Filed under: Mus musculus (house mouse)
Lineage: Eukaryota; Metazoa; Chordata; Mammalia; Rodentia; Muridae
Description: long non-coding RNA chr17:18171510-18172711
Source: RNAcentral
CCAUAUUCAUCAUCAUCCCCUUGAAAUAGCUCAAAAUAGCCAUUGCAAAUCAUUCUUGAUUUAUAGCUUUAAUCCAUUGUCAAUAUUGGUAUUUGAAGAUACAAUAUAUCUCCCCAUACUUUUCAAUGCUUUACAUUGCACAUUGCCACUUAACAUGUAUUAAUAAGGGAUCAAAUUUUUUUUAUUUGUUUUUAAUAUAUAGGUUUUUUUCCUUACAUUUAAAAUCCUAUCCCAAAGACCUGUACACCCUCCAAACUCCCUGCUCCUCAAACCACACACUCUGACUUCCUGGUCCUGGAAUUCCCCUGUACUGGGCCAUAUAAUCUUCACAAGACCAAGGGCCUCUCCUCCCGUUGAAGGCCGACUAGGCCAUCUUCAGCUUCAAAUGCAACUAGAGACAGAGCUCUGGGAGUGGGGAGGGGGAUAGUUCGUUCAUAUCAUUGUUCCUCCUAUAGGGUUGCAGACCCCUUUAGCUCCUAGGGUCCUUUCUCUAGCUCUUCCAUUGGGGGCCCUGUGUUCCAACCAAUAGAUGACUGUGUGCAUCUAAUUCUGUAUUUGCAAGGCACUGUCAUAGCCUCACGAGAGACAGAUAUAUCAGGGUACUGUCAGCAAAAUCUUUCAGGCAUAUGCAAUAGUGUCUGGGUUUGGUGGUUGUAUAUGGGAUGGGUCCCUGGGUGGAGGAGUCUGUGGAUGGUCUUUCCUUCCAUCUUAGCUCUGAACUUUGUCUCUGUAACUCCUUCCAAGGGUGUUUGGUUCCCCAUUCUAAGAAGGAAGAAAGUAUCCACACUUUGGUCUUCCUUCUUCAUGAGUUUCAUGUGUUUUGCAAAUUGAAUCUUGGGUAUUCUAAGUUUCUGAGUUAAUAUGCGCUAAUUAGUGAGUACAUGCUAUGUGUGUUCUUUUGGGAUUGGGUUACCUCACUCAGGAUGAUAUCCUCCAGAUCCAUCCAUUUGCCUAAGAAUUACAUGACUUAACUGUUUUUAACUGCUGAGUAGUACUCCAUUGUGUAAAUGUAUCACAUUUUCUGUACCCAUUCCUCUGUUGAGGGACAUUUGGGUUCUUUCUAUCUUCUUGUUAUUAUAAAUAAGUCUGCUAUGAACAUAAUGGAGCAUGUGUCCUUAUUACAAGUUGGAUCAUCUUCUGGGUAUAUGCACAAGAGAGGAAUUGCUGUAUCUUCUGGAAGUAAUAAAUCCAAUUUUCUGAG